GAUGAAGAACGCAGUGAAAUGCGAUACGUAAUGUGAAUUGCAGAAUUCAGUGAAUCAUCGAGUCUUUGAACGCAUAUUGCGCCCCCUGGUAUUCCGGGGGGCAUGCCUGUCCGAGCGUCAUUGCUGCCCUCAAGCACGGCUUGUGUGUUGGGCCUCCGUCCUCCUCCCGGGGGACGGGCCCGAAAGGCAGCGGCGGCACCGCGUCCGGUCCUCGAGCGUAUGGGGCUUCGUCACCCGCUCUUGUAGGCCCGGCCGGCGCUUGCCGACACAUCAAUCUUUUUUCCAGGUUGACCUCGGAUCAGGUAGGGAUACCCGCUGAACUUAAGCAUAUCAAUAAGCGGAGGA
RNAcentral lists this unclassified non-coding RNA (345 nucleotides) under soil metagenome. RNAcentral describes it as "partial contains 5.8S ribosomal RNA, internal transcribed spacer 2, and large subunit ribosomal RNA". The stretch from base 1 to 120 matches the Rfam family "5.8S ribosomal RNA", at positions 35 to 154 of the family's 154-position model. The record is from RNAcentral.